This is a long non-coding RNA of Bos taurus (domestic cattle), 1006 nucleotides long. The record is from Ensembl. NCBI's taxonomy places the organism in Eukaryota, Metazoa, Chordata, Mammalia, Artiodactyla, Bovidae.
AUGGGCCCCACCAUCCCCCACAAGGAGGACCAGUGGGAGGGGACAGAAAUGGACUGGGCACAUGCGGUGGCUUUGAAUCUAGUCCAGGAUGAAGGGAAACCAUGCCAGAGAGUUUAGCCAGGCCGCAGCUGCACCAACCCUGCCCCUGAGACAGCACUGGAGAGGAAUGGAACCCAGCCAUCCAUUCUUCUCGGCCAAGCCCAACUUAGGUUUGGUUGUGAACGUUUCUAAGGGAGUUAGUGGCAAGCUAUGGGGGCUCAGUCUGCAACCAGGACCAGGGAUCAGUCUAUGACCAGGGUCAGUGCUCAGAGUACCGCCAGAAUGAGAACUGAGCCUUGAUGACAUGAAGGGCCCUCACAUUAAUCUCCCUCCAGGUGGGGCUCGGAGCCAGUUAAUUUUUAUCUUCCCAAACUCAUGUGCAAAAAAUGUUUGCAGAGUCAAACUGUGCUAAAGUGUUAGAACAAAAACAGCACUCUCCUAUGUCACUGCUCUUUUGAAGUGACCACUUCAACUCAUUCAGUUAUUUAGGAGACAAAAAUCAGAAGACAAAAAUCUCUGCAAGGAGAUGAAACCAGUCAAUCCUAAAGGAAAUCAAUCCUGAAUAUCCAUUGGAGGGACUGAUGCUGAGGCAGAAGCUACAAUACUUUGGCUGCCUGAUGCAAAGAACUGACUCAUUGGAAAGGACCCUGAUGCUGGGAAAGACUGAAGGCAGGAGGAGAAGGGGAUGACAGAGGAUGAGAUGGUUGGAUGGCAUCAUCAGCUCGAUGGACAUGAGUUUGAGCAAGCUCUGGGAGAUGGUGAGGGACAGGGAAGCUUGGCGUGCUGCAGUCCAUGGGGUUGCAGAAGGUCAGACAUGACUGAGCAACUGAAAAACAACAACAAAAUAAAGCAUUUAUUGCUAUUAUUUCUAUCUCAGAGAAGUCCAGUUUAGAUACCAUCUCUUGGCAUUCCUCUCCUGACAGAUGAGAUUCACUUACACUCUUUCCUCUCCUUUUGGUAUCAUAAC